Long non-coding RNA from Cannabis sativa, 1752 nucleotides. RefSeq lists it as uncharacterized. The record is from RefSeq and is a predicted model, not a curated record. The transcript is spliced from 2 exons. NCBI's taxonomy places the organism in Eukaryota, Viridiplantae, Streptophyta, Magnoliopsida, Rosales, Cannabaceae.
CAUUCUUGUAAGUUUAUCUAAUUAUACGUUCUCGUGAAAGAAUUUCAAAUUCAACACUAGGAAAUAUAUGUAUUAAUAUUCUGCUCAAUUUUUUUUUGUAUUUAUUUUUUUAGAAAAUUUAAUUUAUUAACAUCCCUAUAAACCCCUAAUACAAAUUAUAAUUAAUUAUGUUGUUAUUAAUUAGUAAAUAAUAUCGUUUAUCAAAAUUUUGGUGAAAUUGAAUUCAUAUAACAAUUUAUACGAGGCUUGCAGUCCUUUUCUUACUUUAGUGAAUUGUGAUUAUUGUGUACCAAUUACUUGUUAGAAGUGAGGAGUGGAUAACAUUUAAAUACUUUUCUUAUGUUCAUUAUUCCUCUUUCAUAUAGGACCUUACUCUUGGCUUAGGGAAUCAACAACAGGUUUGUGAAUUUGUCUUCAUAAAAUUACAUUGUUUUUCAUUUGAUGACUCCCUUUUGCGCUUUUUUUGAUAACCAAAUCCUAUAUAAAAUUUGACUUAUAUUUGGUGUUUUACAUCAAUGUAAUUUGAUGCAGUGCCAUACAACAUGUAUUUAAAGUUCAUAUUUUUUUUUCCUUUUUGGUUAAACAUAUAAAGAUACUAUUAAGAACAAAAUUAAGAAGUUUACUGAAUUUUAUAUUAUUUGAAGCUUAAAAUUUUGUGCUUGUUUUGUAUAGUAACAGGAACAGUUGAAGACAUUAAAGUCAGAACGUAGAAAGGUUCAAUUGGGCAAUAUUACUGUUGAUAUUUAAAUAUUGUUUUUUCUUUUCACUUUCCUUAGUGUAAAAUUGAAUGUUCAUUGUAAUCAAAAUACUUUACAAGUGAAAAAAUAUAUCGCCCCACAAGUUAUCUUGUGUAAAUUGUAAACUAAUAUAUUUUACAUCUUAUAUAUGUAUUUAGGAAGGUAAUUGGUGGAAUGAGAGGAAUGACUGGACUGCUAUGGGAAACCUCAUUAUUUGACCCAGAAGGGUAUACACUUGAAAUUCUGGGUUAGAAUAUUACAUAUUUACUUUGGUUUUGGUGCAAUCAGAGUUUAUAGUUAUGUUUGACUAUCUUCAUUAUGUAUGUUUCUGUUGGGUGUCCAUUUUAGGGGCCUAUCUAUUCCUGAAUGUCGAAGAAUUUUACAUGUUGUUAAGUGUGAUGGAGAACCACUGUCUGAGGAUCUUCUCUGGCUCCUUUUAACAUGAAAGGCAAGGGUGUUUGGAUCUUGCUGAAUUCAUUACUAGAAUGUGGUUAUCAACAAACAUGAGAAGUUGAUUCAAGGGUGGAGAAAAGAAUUGAAAGACCAACUAGACAAACAGUACCUAACUGAAUUGGGAGAGAGUAUAGCUGAUAGCCAACAGGUUGUUUAACUAAAAUAUGACUUUCGCAAGUUGUCAUUGGCAUAAUUUUAUUAGUCAUUUGUACAACAUGUAGAGCAUUUUGAUAAGCAAAUCAGUUUUUCUUUGUUGACAAUCUUGUUUCAUGUAUUGUGAUAACAGCUGAAUUAAAAUUAGACACAGAAACAUUAGCUUUUGCUCUCUAUUAAUUGGACUUUGUUGCUUAGGGAAACCUACGGAAUUAACAAUUCAUGAAAGAAAUUCUGAAGUUCGAUUAUGUGUGAGUGGCAGUACAAUUCAUGAGAGCAUACUUUUUCUUUAUUUCCAGGGGAAAGAAAGGACCGAAGGAGAGCCUUCUUGUGUUGUGUCGAAAAACUUGGCCUAAAAACCAUGCAUCUAUCUUUAAAUUAUAGUGCUAAUUUUUAUUGUUUCUUUAAA